GAAGUUGUUUGGCCAUCUAAAGCAGGAUUUCCCAUAAUCUGUGGAAGGACAAUAGAUGAAAAGAGGGUCAAAUACACACUUGUGAUUCAUUCAGCACACACACAUGUGACAUCUUUUGCCAACGGCAACCUGUUGCUGCUCUUAAGCACUACCUCAUCCUGGCAUCUCUCUCUCGUGUCGUGUUGACUCUCUCUCUAACCUGAUCUCCAGAUGUUAUCAUACUCAGAGUGCACUGUUACUGUCCACAGCUGGCCACCUACCACACUCAACUACCAAUUAUAGAUCCUCUUGAGGAAAAAAAACAGCCGUUUUAGCUUACCGCCUCUAUGGAUGAUUGCCCAAACAAUGCAUGCGUUUCUGCCUGUACAGAAGGUUUGUAAAACUAGAGAGCAAUAUCUUCCCUCGGCACAAUACUCUGAAGCACAGAGAAGAUUUAAUCACUCUGUGACUUUGGACAUUUCCAAUCAAUUACAAUGCCUUUUUUUGAUCAAAUUUAAUUAAUGGAUUGCAAUUACCUGAGCUGAAAUUAGUAGCAUUUAAAUGCAUCCAUUUACUUGAUUAAAGUUAGAUGAUGAGAGAAAGAGAGAAAGAAGUAAGCUAAGCCUGGAGGAACUGAGAAGAACAGAAAGAAAAGGAGAGGGGAGUUGGGUGUCAGGUGCACACAGUAAAGCAAGCUACAAAAAGCCACAGGUAAAUAAAUGACAAGGGACCGUCGUGUCACUUCCUGUCGGUUGAGCUCGGCUGAAUAUCGUGUAAGGCUCAGUCAUCACACGAUCUCGGAUUCUCACCGAACAGCGCAGUCUGGUUAUGUCACUCAAAAAUGCUGUUCUCAUUCUCCCUCUGCUAUGUUCGUCAUGUUUUCUGGUCCAAACCAGCCAAAGACUGGGUGGGAUGAAACUAUCCAGAAGGCUUCAGAAAUGAAUGAAAGAGGUUUCUGUCAAGUCCUGCUAUCAGUAACUGUGGGUGUUUGGGACUUUGUCAUAUUUUAGAAAAGCUACUGGCCUAAAAUAACCUUUACAGAGCAGUUUUACAUUAGCAUUAAUAUAUUUUAUUAUUAUUUUAUUAUUAUUAUUACAUCCACAAUUACGGACUACAUAAGUAGUCAAAUAUGUGUUCCACGCAAUCUUUAAAAUUCUUAAAAUGUUCUUCAAAACUGUGCCUCUGCAGAGCUCUCUCUCUCUCUCUUUUGCCCUCAUUUCUCAUCCCUCUGUCCAUCUCUCCCUCGUUAUUUAUUCAGUAAAAUGGGAGAUUGAUCAGAUAAUUGCAUUAGGAGGGGCAGAUUGGUCAUAAUCAUGGUGGUAUUGGCAGCUCGGGGCUGGAGGCUCAGCACUGACAUUAACUCAGACUCAGCAGUCAGAGGUCAGCACCGCUGAGAUUAAACUCUUCUCUUUCUGUGGUCAGCAUGGUUUGGGCCAUUUUACAGCCUCACAUCACCCCAACUGACCCCUUGAUGACCACUUGACAAAAUGGAGGGGAGGGUGAGGACAAAAGAGAGCUGACCAAGGAGGAUGAGCGGUGGGAUGAAAGGAGGAGGGAGAGGUAACUGAGAGGAGAGGGGGGAUGUGAAGAAAAAAAAAUCACACAAAGGCCAAUGCAAUAUACCGAAAGUGUGAGGUGCAAUAUAUCGAAAGUGUACUUUGCUCAAAUUAAUUCCAUACAUGUAUACAUAUCACACAAAGUUAAUUUUCGUUACAUAAUUUAUUUUAUUUUAUUUUAUUAUGAAAUAAAACAAAGUUAAAUGCUGUCCA
This is a long non-coding RNA of Cyprinus carpio (common carp), 1748 nucleotides long. The record is from Ensembl. Lineage: Eukaryota; Metazoa; Chordata; Actinopteri; Cypriniformes; Cyprinidae.